This 3910-nucleotide long non-coding RNA is filed under the name Olea europaea subsp. europaea. Lineage: Eukaryota; Viridiplantae; Streptophyta; Magnoliopsida; Lamiales; Oleaceae. The record is from RNAcentral.
CUUGCACGUAGCAGACUUUGUUUGAAUGUUCUUGUGCCAAGCUGUGUCGUGGCAACUGACAAGUUUUAUGGUCUUUUCUUCUUCUAUGCAGGAUGUCUGGAUAUUCAUUCAUCCAAUGAUGACAAUCCGAAUGAUAAAAGCUUAGGGGAAGAAAGUGACAUUGUGCCCGUCGUUGGAAUGAAGUUUAAAGAUGAAAAUGAGAUUUUUGAAUUUUACAAAAAUUACGCUUAUCGAGUCGGUUUUCCCGUAAGAAAAAGAAAUUCGAAGAAGGGUGAUGACGGGGUUCUACGUUAUGUAACUUUUACGUGUAGUCGAGAAGGCCAUCGAAUCAGUGCUUCAAGUUCUUCUCUAAAGCCUCGACCAACCAUCCAAACUGGGUGUAAAGCGAGAUUGGCAGCAAGUUCAGAAAUUUGUGGAACGUGGCGUAUUAACAGUGUCCAUCUCGAGCACAACCACAAAAUAAGCCCAUCCAAAUCUAGACUAUAUCGAUGCAAUCGCCAAAUUAGUGCACGCACGAAAAGACGGCUUGAAAUAAAUGACACUGCUGGUAUUCAAUCACACAAAAGUAAGGCUGGUAGAUCUGAAAAGAAGGUAUGCGUUGAAAAGGAUAGUGGAAAUUUCAUUGACAAAGUGCGGCAGUUAAAACUUGGUGAAGGAGACACUAUUGCAUUACAAGCAUAUUUUUCGAAGAUGCAAACAAGUAGUCCUGGUUUCUAUUUUAGUAUAGACUUGGAUGAAGAGGCCCGAUUGAGGAACGUGUUUUGGGCAGAUAACAGGUGUAGACAAGCGUAUAAGGAAUUUGGUGAUGUAGUUACAUUUGACACCACAUACUUGACUAACAAUUACGAUAUACCUUUCACUUUUUUUGUUGGGGUGAAUCAUCACGGACAAUCAAUAUUGCUUGGAUGUGGUUUGGUUUCGAAUGAGGAUGCAAUGACUUUUGUAUGGCUAUUUAAGACAUUGCUUGAGUGUAUGCAUGAUCAAGCUCCAAAUGGAAUAAUUACAGAUCAAGAUCGGGCUAUGCAAAAUGCAAUUGAAAUCGUUUUUCCAAACACAAAGCAUAGAUGGUGCUUAUGGUAUAUUUUAAAGAAAUUACCAGAAAAAAUUGGCAACCACAAUCAUAAAGGUUCUAUUCUUUCUGCUGUACAUGGGUUGGUGUACGAUACACAAACUUGUGAGGAAUUUGAACAAGGUUGGAACAAAAUGCUUGAAGAUUAUAAAUUGCAAGAACAUGGUUGGUUGACUGGAUUAUACAAUGAGAGAAGUCGAUGGGUACCAUGCUUUUUGAAAACAUCAUUUUGGGCUGGUAUGUCAACUACUCAACGAAGUGAGAGCAUGAAUGCUUUUUUUGACGGUUAUGUUCAUUCAAAAACAUCCCUAAAGCAAUUUGUAGAGCAAUAUGAGCGCGCAUUGAGAAGUAAAGUUGAAAAGGAGUUUCAUGCUGAUUUCAAAUCAUUUUCACAAAUGGUCCCAUGUGUAACGAGGUACGAAAUGGAGAAGCAAUUCCAAUCAGUGUAUACAAUCUCGAAGUUCAAGGAGUUUCAAGAAGAAUUUACCGGAAAGGUUUAUUGUGAAGUGUUAUCUGCUCAAGAUUCAUACUUGCAUACCAUUUAUGAGGUACGUGAGGAUAUCAUCUUCAAUGGUGGUAUGAAGAAAAAAAUAUUUAAAGUGUUAUUUCGUAGGGAUGAAUGCGAAUUUGAGUGCAGUUGUCACUUAUUUGAGUUUAGAGGAAUUAUUUGCAAGCAUGCUAUAUCGGUUUUAAUUCGUAAUGAUGUGGCAUUACUUCCUGAGAAGUAUAUAUUGAAGAGAUGGAGGAGAGAUGUGAAUAGACCCUAUACGAGGGUUCCGAUCAAUUACGAUGGUUGGAUUAGUACUCCCGAGCAGGUUAGAUAUGACCAAUUGUGCCUUGCGUUUACCAAGUUAGCUGAUUUGGUAGCACAUGAUGAAGAACGAUGCCAGGGCAUUAUGGAUUGGAUCGAUCUCCAAACAAUAGACUUAUCUAAACGUCAAAAUCCAUGAAGUAGAGGUUUUUUAGGCUUCAAUCAUUGAUAAAUUUUCAGGUUUUUUUCUUGAAUCAUUCAAGAUAGAAAAGAUAUUCUAGGUGUUUGAAGUUCAAACCUCUGAUUAAUGUAAGAGCGCUUGGGUUCAAGUCAUUUUGAACUGACUCAAACAGGAGCGGUGAAGUUUUGAGUUAAAGUUUGUGGGGGGGGGGGGGGGAAGUAUUGUUUUCUUUCUUGGAUAUAAAGAAGGAAAGAAAGAUUCUGUAAUGCCAGAGUUUGAGCUGUGUUCAAAUAGGAGCGGAUCAUUGCUCGGGCAGGGAGGCAACAAGGAUGAUCGGGAUUGGACUCAGCUUCAUAUUUGUGCUCGGAAAGGUGAUCUGGAGGAGGUAAAAUUUUGGCACCUCCGUGAGGUAUUCUACAUCUGUCUUUGAACUUCAUGUGUAAUACAACUUGUUUAGGUUCAGUUAGUGAUCUCUCUCUCUCUCUCUCUCUCUCUUUAUUAUUAUUAUUUUUUUCAUGACAGUAAUCUCAUUGUUCAGUGUAUAACUUUCUAUCAAGUAUAAAUAGGACUGUGAGAAAUCUUCACUUUUUAUGAUAUUAACAGGGGAAGAAUUAGAUGUCGUUUUGAUGCAAACCAAGAAACAUUUUUACCAACUUCUGGCUGUGGAACAUUAACUUAGAGGCAGUUCACUGCUGGUUUCCUUGAUACGAUUGGAGGAUCAAUAAAGUUAAAGAGACAUUCAAUAAAAUGGUCUUUUAACCACGUUUGUUUUAUGAUACCCGGGUGUGAGGCUGUUAUAGAACACAAUAGCCCCAUGAUCAAUGUAUUAAGAUGGACAUGUGGCAAUCUUAGAAUAGAUAAAAUAACAAAUAAUGCUAACAAGUGAAGAUGGCAACUAGCUCCAAUUUAGGACAAAAUUGAGGGAAUGAUCCAAGUGUUUGAGGUGUGUUUUGCAUGGACCUAAAGAACUCCCAUUUAUUAGAUCAAUGUGAUUCAAAUAUAACAAGUCAGAAGGAGGGAUACUUAAAAAUUAACAUGGCCUAGGUUAGACUAGGGAGAGCCAGAUCAAGUUCAAUUCUGACAUGCAUUUGUCCUUGCUGAGCUAGCUACCCUAACAACCAUUGGUUUUCAAAAGGGGAUAGUAGCUGUAGUCUUGGGUUAAAGAGAUUAUUCAAUAGGUUUUCUUCAUCCUUGUGAAAAUUAAGAUCAAAAUUGAAUGGAUGGAUGGAUUGUAACCGUAGUCAUUCGAUUGUAUGAUGAAAAUUGUGCAUUGAAGCAAAUAGGAGUGUAUUUGGCAUUAUCGGACGAUUCAUCCAACUUUGAGUGAGCACAAUGUAGAUACUGAACCAAACAUGAUGGGAAUAUAAUUGAAACAUGUGAGCGUGUGUAUGUGACUAUGAAAUCUUUUGAUAUCUUUUUAAUUAAUUAUAAUUGGUCCGUAUAUGAUAAAUGCUAGGUAUAAGAAGCCAACUUGAAUCGGCGAAGUUUGAGGAUUUGAAAUUUUGUUCAAGAUCUUGGAAUUUGUAGCUUUCUGCCCUCUCUUAUGAGUGACAAACGCAUGUUAAUAUCGAUUAGGAAGCAUUUGUUGAUCCCUUUUUACUUGUUUCAAUUCUCUCUUAUAUAGCAUUUAGAUGGCAGUUGGUAAGGGUGUGUUUUUAAGUUCUUUUAUUGUUGGACAAACCCUUCAAGAAAAUUGGCAAGGGUGUGUUGGGAUCAAGAAAAUUGGAUUUUGUGAGAAAAAUAUUGUUUGUUCUAUAUUACUUACUUGCAUUGUGAAGCAGGAAAUCCUCGUCAUUUCUAAUAUUUACUCUUCCUGUUGUCAAAUUGAACCUACCUCCUGAUCUUAGCUAAAACGGAAGCCUUGUCUCCACUUACAUUUUUGGCUAUGCUUAAAAUGUUUACUUAUAAG